GACAGAGGUCCCGAGCGUUAGGCGGAAUCACUGGGCUUAAAGCGUGUGUAGGCGGAUCGUUAAGUGCCUUGUGAAAUCCCACGGCUUAACCGUGGAAUGGCUGGGCAAACUGGCGCAUCUUGAGCCAUCUAGGGGCGACCGGAACAAACGGUGGAGCGGUGAAAUGCGUAGAUAUCGUUUGGAACGCCAACGGUGAAAACAGGUCGCUGGGGAUGUGCUGACGCUGAGACACGAAAGCCAGGGGA
Molecule: ribosomal RNA, 245 nt
Filed under: uncultured bacterium
Lineage: Bacteria
Description: partial 16S ribosomal RNA
Rfam family: Bacterial small subunit ribosomal RNA
Source: RNAcentral